AUUGAACGCUGGCGGAAUGCUUUACACAUGCAAGUCGAACGGUAGAGGGGGCAACCCCUCGAGAGUGGCGAACGGGUGAGUAAUAUAUCGGAACGUGCCCAGUCGUGGGGGAUAACGUAGCGAAAGUUACGCUAAUACCGCAUACGAUCUAAGGAUGAAAGCGGGGGAUCGCAAGACCUCGCGCGAUUGGAGCGGCCGAUAUCAGAUUAGGUAGUUGGUGGGGUAAAGGCUCACCAGGCCUGCGAUCUGUAGCUGGUCUGAGAGGACGACCAGCCACACUGGAACUGAGACACGGUCCAGACUCCUACGGGAGGCAGCAGUGGGGAAUUUUGGACAAUGGACGCAAGUCUGAUCCAGCAAUGCCGCGUGCAGGACGAAGGCCUUCGGGUUGUAAACUGCUUUUGUACAGAACGAAAAGGUUUCUACUAAUACUAGGAGCUCAUGACGGUACUGUAAGAAUAAGCACCGGCUAACUACGUGCCAGCCGCCGCGGUAA
RNAcentral lists this ribosomal RNA (496 nucleotides) under uncultured bacterium. Its description in RNAcentral is "partial 16S ribosomal RNA". It matches the Rfam family "Bacterial small subunit ribosomal RNA", at positions 30 to 523 of the family's 1533-position model. The record is from RNAcentral.